Molecule: ribosomal RNA, 497 nt
Filed under: uncultured bacterium
Lineage: Bacteria
Description: partial 16S ribosomal RNA
Rfam family: Bacterial small subunit ribosomal RNA
Source: RNAcentral
GACGAACGCUGGCGGCGUGCCUAAUACAUGCAAGUUGAGCGCUGAAGGUUGGUACUUGUACCAACUGGAUUAGCAGCGAACGGGUGAGUAACGCGUGGGGAAUCUGCCUUUGAGCGUGGGACAACAUUUGGAAACGAAUGCUAAUACCGCAUAAAAACUUUAAACACAAGUUUUAAGUUUGAAAGAUGCAAUUGCAUCACUCAAAGAUGAUCCCGCGUUGUAUUAGCUAGUUGGUGAGGUAAAGGCUCACCAAGGCGAUGAUACAUAGCCGACCUGAGAGGGUGAUCGGCCACAUUGGGAAGGAGACACGGCCCAAAAUCCUACGGGAGGCCGCAGUAGGGAAUCUUCGGCAAUGGACGAAAGUCUGAACGAGCAACGCCGCGUGAGUGAAGAAGGUUUUCGGAUCGUAAAACUCUGUUGGUAGAGAAGAACGUUGGUGAGAGUGGAAAGCUCAUCAAGUGACGGUAACUAACCAGAAAGGGACGGCUAACUACGUG